AAGUCGUAACAAGGUUUCCGUAGUGGAAACUGCGGAAGGAUCAUUAAAGAAAAAGGGGCGUGAGUGCCAUGGCUGUGCAUGUAUCCCAUGCACAUGGCAUGUGCACACAUGCCAAUACUUUUCUCUCUAUUUAUACACCUGUGUUGUUGACUGUACGAAACACACACACACAUCAGUGUUUCCUUUCACACUUUCUGUGGAUGGAUGUAUGGGUGUUCUGAUGAUGCUUUGGGCAAGGGAGGAGGAAGGAUCAUCUUUUCUCUCUCUUUGCCCAACAUCAUGGUUCAUCCACCCACACUUACACAGAGGGUGGAGAGUGAUUCGCUGAGGAGUGGGUGGACAAACUCCUCUUCUUUAAACACACCAUCUGAAACCCAAGCAAUUGUAAAAUACACAAUACAACUGCUAGCAAUGGAUCACUUGGUUCCC
Molecule: unclassified non-coding RNA, 429 nt
Filed under: fungal sp.
Lineage: Eukaryota; Fungi
Description: partial internal transcribed spacer region
Rfam family: Eukaryotic small subunit ribosomal RNA (bases 1-46)
Source: RNAcentral